This 465-nucleotide ribosomal RNA is filed under the name uncultured bacterium. RNAcentral describes it as "bacterial SSU rRNA". It matches the Rfam family "Bacterial small subunit ribosomal RNA", at positions 917 to 1382 of the family's 1533-position model. The record is from RNAcentral.
GGACCCGCACAAGCGGUGGAUUAUGUGGAUUAAUUCGAUGCAACGCGAAAAACCUUACCUACCCUUGACAUGUCCGAAAGCCCGCAGAGAUGUGGGUGUGCCCGAAAGGGAAUCGGAACACAGGUGCUGCAUGGCUGUCGUCAGCUCGUGUCGUGAGAUGUUGGGUUAAGUCCCGCAACGAGCGCAACCCUUGUCAUUAGUUGCUACAUUCAGUUGGGCACUCUAAUGAGACUGCCGGUGACAAACCGGAGGAAGGUGGGGAUGACGUCAAGUCCUCAUGGCCCUUAUGGGUAGGGCUUCACACGUAAUACAAUGGCGCGUACAGAGGGUUGCCAAGGAGCGAUCUGGAGCCAAUCCCGAAAAGCGCGUCGUAGUCCGGAUUGCAGUCUGCAACUCGACUGCAUGAAGUCGGAAUCGCUAGUAAUCGCGGAUCAGCAUGUCGCGGUGAAUACGUUCCCGGGUCUU